This is a long non-coding RNA of Xiphophorus couchianus (Monterrey platyfish), 789 nucleotides long. RefSeq lists it as uncharacterized. The record is from RefSeq and is a predicted model, not a curated record. Lineage: Eukaryota; Metazoa; Chordata; Actinopteri; Cyprinodontiformes; Poeciliidae. The transcript has 3 exons.
AUGUCUUGCUAAAAAGGAAAAAAUCUGCUAGUGAAACUAGCACUAUUUCAACAAUAUUAAGGAAUUACUGACAUAAAACAUUUAUUGCUAAAAAGUUACUUGUAAGUUAGUUUUGUCUCAUUUCAAGUAUACUAGGAUAUUUGCAUUAAAAAUUAGACCAAAACUACUUGGUAAGGUUUGGUGUUUUUGCAGUGCAGCACUAUCAGAGUACCAACUUUUAGAUGAUUAAUAUGUCAACAUUUUGAAUCCACUCCACUCUCAGAUAUGCAUUAGUCACACUGAGUGAUUCAGCUGUUUCAAGUCACUCACAGCUAUUAACUAUUAACACUGCCCCCCUCUGGCACAUACAGCUGCAUCUCGGUAAAUUAAAAUAUCAUCAAAUUUUUAUUUAUGUCAGGAAUUCACUACGGUGAAACCCAUAUGUGGAUUCGUUACAGGAUCUAUUUCUGUUCAUAUUUAUGAUUAUAGCUUACAGCUAAUGGAAAAUUUGAACAAUACACAGAAUCAUCAAGUGGCUGUAUCUAAAUAUAUUAUUUGGAAAGUUGAGUGGAAGGAAAACUGUUGUCAAGAAAAAAACCACAAGAAACAGGGUCAAUGUUUGCGUGUCCUCAAAUCUAGAGUCAGGAAAUUUUUAGGUUUUUGUUUGUUUAGUUGCUUUAAUUAAACUCUAACUCAUUUACCCAGAAAGUCCAGUUUGGUUUGAAGAGGUGAAACCAAAAAUGGAAACUCUGGUCUUUGGUUUAAUUUCUGGUGCAAAUAUCUUAGUACACUUGAAAUAAGACAAAACUA